GCGGCUGUAGCUCAGCGGUAGAGCGCCUGGUUGUGGUCCAGGAUGUCGUGGGUUCGAUCCCCAUCAGUCGCCCCA
Molecule: transfer RNA, 75 nt
Filed under: Alphaproteobacteria bacterium
Lineage: Bacteria; Pseudomonadati; Pseudomonadota; Alphaproteobacteria
Description: tRNA-His
Rfam family: tRNA
About the family: Transfer RNA (tRNA) molecules are approximately 80 nucleotides in length. Their secondary structure includes four short double-helical elements and three loops (D, anti-codon, and T loops).
Source: RNAcentral